This 387-nucleotide long non-coding RNA is filed under the name Elaeis guineensis (African oil palm). RNAcentral's name for it is "long non-coding RNA (EGUI_LNC033375)". Lineage: Eukaryota; Viridiplantae; Streptophyta; Magnoliopsida; Arecales; Arecaceae. The record is from RNAcentral.
GUGGAGAUCGCAUUCUCUUCAUCUUAGGAAGCUGCUCCCUAAUUUUCAUGAGCACUUGAAUUCUAGAUAUAUUCAGUGGAGUAUAGUUUGUGAAUCUCCUCGACAGCAACAAGCACCUCAGUGAGGGUCGACACUAUCCCCUAAGGCUUUUAGGUCAUCAUCCUCAAGGAGGCAUUCUAGAUUGUUGGUGUCAGGGUAGAGUCUUGGACUGUGGCUGACUCCUUAGGGGAUCCUCUCAGAUUGGGGAGAGCUUGGGGUCUUCUUUCUUUCUCUCGAUCGUAACAUCUAUCGAGGUCCCACAUUUUUCGAAGGCUUCUUCAGUUCGAGCAUAUUUUUUGGUCCAAUCUAGCAUCUUGACAAAGUCUUUCGAAUAUUUUUUCUCCAAGA